UACGUAGGGGGCAAGCGUUGUCCGGAUUUAUUGGGCGUAAAGAGCGUGUAGGCGGCUAGGUAGGUCCGUUGUGAAAACUCGAGGCUCAACCUCGAGACGCCGAUGGAAACCAUCUGGCUAGAGUCCGGAAGAGGAGAGUGGAAUUCCUGGUGUAGCAGUGAAAUGCGCAGAUAUCAGGAAGAACACCCGUGGCUAAGGCGGCUCGCUAGUACGGUACUGACGCUGAGACGCGAAAGCGUGGGGAGCGAACAGG
This 253-nucleotide ribosomal RNA is filed under the name uncultured bacterium. RNAcentral describes it as "partial 16S ribosomal RNA". It matches the Rfam family "Bacterial small subunit ribosomal RNA", at positions 524 to 776 of the family's 1533-position model. The record is from RNAcentral.